UCUUGCAAACUAAAGAUGGCGACCGGCGCACGGGUGAGUAACACGUAUCCAACCUGCCGAUAACUCGGGGAUAGCCUUUCGAAAGAAAGAUUAAUAUCCGAUAGUAUAUUAAAACCGCAUGGUUUUACUAUUAAAGAAUUUCGGUUAUCGAUGGGGAUGCGUUCCAUUAGUUUGUUGGCGGGGUAACGGUCCACCAAGACUACGAUGGAUAGGGGUUCUGAGAGGAAGGUCCCCCACAUUGGAACUGAGACACGGUCCAA
Molecule: ribosomal RNA, 260 nt
Filed under: uncultured bacterium
Lineage: Bacteria
Description: partial 16S ribosomal RNA
Rfam family: Bacterial small subunit ribosomal RNA
Source: RNAcentral